CAAGAAUUGCUUUUCCAAGAGCUCUAGAGCCCUGCUGCAGGCCUAUGCCGCAUAGGAAGGGCUUUAGGAACAGUGUCAUGGUAAUUAUAGCCUCAGAGGGUACAGCGUAUCUGGAGGGAGCAGAAGUGUCUUUAUAAAGAUCCGGUCUCUAUCUGCAAUAUGGACACCACGCAGCAAGACGCUCAUCCAAAAUCAGAAGUGCUCUGUUCGGGUGAAUGAAAUAAUCCUUUAGUAGCAGCUCAGCCGCACCAGUUGAUGAGGCCUCAUUUAUCUUGGACAACCAUUAAUUGCUGAGCUUCGAGAUCAGCCAGACCCCUGAAAGAAAUACAUAGGAGAUAAUGAGCUAAAUUCGACUGCAGAAAAGAGUAACUGGUUGUUUUGUGUUCCUGGUUUGCCACGUCUUCUGACCUGCAGCUGGUGUCCUGGCAGUGUGCAGAGGUCCGAUCAAGACUGGAUUUAGAUGUGGUAUAGCCCCAACCCAGAGAAGCCGGCCAAGCAGCUCUUGGACUCAUAGGUCCUGAAGCAGGUGUACAGUGAAAAUACCUGCAGCAGAGAGUCUCAUCUGUCCAGGGCAUCAUCGUCCAGUCUAUAGAUGAAGGCCUGUAGAACUAUAGAUGUGUCCCUGGAAACCUCCCCCUGACCCACUUCGGUCCACAGCAAGACCAUUAAUCUGAACCUCCGUGUCCUGCCCACUGUGUGAAGGCGUUUUGACAUUGCGGUCUGCAGUACUGCUGAGCUGCAAUAGCACACAACUGAAGGGCAUCACCAGCCACCCAGAUGCAGCGAGAACAAAUGAAACAUGGCAGGAUCACCUGCGUGACCACAGUGAGCCCGAUGACUCAGCGACUGUUGAACUGAACGCAGUGCGGCGCCACAAUGACACAUCGUACAAACGAGAGGGGACGCGGAACACGGAGGAUGAUGUAAAAGUUGGGGAACCGCAGGCGGUGUGUUUAGAGCUGCUACCUGCCAUUUGGAGGACACGGGCUUGAAUCCCCCUGCUGCAGGAUCCUUGAUCAAGGUACUUAGCCUGAAUUGAUGCAGUAAAAAAAAAUAUUGUGCACUGUUAAUGGGUAAAUAGCUUCAUGCUGUAAGUUGCUUUGGAGAAAAUUUAUCAGUGGAAAGAUUUUAAAGAAAUUUUGUAGAACCUCUUGGUUUUUGGGGAAAACCAGGUGCAUUAGGAUCUAAACCCGGAAAUAAGAGCGUUGUGUCGAUCCCAACACGCCAGAACACUCCACUUGUGCAGCGAGAGCGGGGUGACAAGUCGAACAGAGUCCCCCGGGGCAAGCGAGCGAGCGCCGCACCCGUCUGGCAAAUUGACAUCUCUGACCCAGCGCCAGGGGCCACAUCCAGCCCACUUUUAAAUACCAG
RNAcentral lists this long non-coding RNA (1371 nucleotides) under Scleropages formosus (Asian bonytongue). RNAcentral describes it as "lncRNA (ENSSFOG00015028375.1)". Lineage: Eukaryota; Metazoa; Chordata; Actinopteri; Osteoglossiformes; Osteoglossidae. The record is from RNAcentral.